AUGCCGCUCUCCAGUCUGCUCUGGGUGUUCCUGGCCUUCACCUUCUCUGGAUCUUCUGUGGCCCAGAAAGUUACUCAAGACCAGCCAGAUGUAUCCAGACAAGUGGGGCAGUCAGUCACCCUGAACUGUCGGUAUGAAACAACUUGGACCACUUACUACCUUUUUUGGUACAAACAACUUCCCAGUGGACAGAUGACUUACCUUCUUCAUCAGUAUUCAGAAAGCAGUAAUGCAAGGAACGGCCGCUACUCUGUAAACUUUAAGAAAGCAGACAAAUCCAUCAGCCUCACCAUUUCAGCCUUACAACUGGAAGACUCUGCAAAGUACUUCUGUGCUCUCCGUGAGCUCACAGUGCUUGAAGUAAUAGGAAAAGCUGUACAAAAACCCCGGAGCUUAGAUCAUCCACCUCCACCCUUCUCCACGCCGGAGAGUUUGCUCUCCCUUCCGUCUUUUCUCUCUGUAUCAGCAUCCUUGGUGCGGAGCACCUAUGCACACGGGCACAGAGGACAUAAGGAUUCAGGACCAUUGUUCAAGGAGGACGAGGAGAAUACCAUCCGUGUCAUCAGUUACUAUAUCAAGAACAGAUGCACUAGAAAUGUCUGCCGAGAUGGAGACAGAUGCAGGAUUCCAAGGACCUUUUCAGGACGCUGA
Molecule: non-coding RNA, 651 nt
Organism: Dama dama (fallow deer)
Lineage: Eukaryota; Metazoa; Chordata; Mammalia; Artiodactyla; Cervidae
Source: the annotation of a RefSeq genome assembly